Molecule: transfer RNA, 98 nt
Filed under: Sclerotinia borealis F-4128
Lineage: Eukaryota; Fungi; Ascomycota; Leotiomycetes; Helotiales; Sclerotiniaceae
Rfam family: tRNA
About the family: Transfer RNA (tRNA) molecules are approximately 80 nucleotides in length. Their secondary structure includes four short double-helical elements and three loops (D, anti-codon, and T loops).
Source: Rfam by way of RNAcentral
GCCCGUUUGGCUUAGCGGUAAAGCGCAUCACUAGUACUUGCAAAUAAUGCAUUUCACACCAAAUGAUGAGAUCCUAGGUUCGAUUCCUAGAAUGGGCA